RNAcentral lists this unclassified non-coding RNA (380 nucleotides) under uncultured Pseudomonadota bacterium. Its description in RNAcentral is "uncultured proteobacterium contains 16S-23S intergenic spacer region". Lineage: Bacteria; Pseudomonadati; Pseudomonadota. The record is from RNAcentral.
UCCUGCUUGGCGCAGGCAGUUCCUCUAGAGUGCCCAACUAAAUGCUGGCAACUAGAAGCGAGGGUUGCGCUCGUUGCGGGACUUAACCCAACAUCUCACGACACGAGCUGACGACAGCCAUGCAACACCUGAUGAAUGCUCCUCUUUCGAGGUCGUUACCGUUUCCGGUUUCUACCACAUCCACUUCAAGCCCGGGUAAGGUUCUUCGCGUUGCAUCGAAUUGAACCACAUGCUCCACCGCUUGUGCGAGCCCCCGUCAAUUUCUUUGAGUUUUAACCUUGCGGCCGUACUCCCCAGGCGGAUAACUUAAUGCGUUAGCUGCGCCACCAAAAGCCCAUGGCCCCUGACAGCUAGUUAUCAUCGUUUACGGCGUGGACUAC